AUUAGUAUAAUUUGGGCUAUUCCACAGUGCAGCACUUUGUGCUUAUUAAGAAAUGACUUUCACCUGCCAUCCUGCCCUCUCCCCAUUCUCUUUGUGGUCUUUCUCUUAUUAAAGGGAAUUUAAUUUUUCCUUUCAUUAUCUUUAUUUUCUUCCAGAGGAUUAUAACGAUUAUAAAUUCUCCUCAAUGGGAUGAACCAGAGCUACAAGCAACGACUGAUUUCAAAUUAUUUCAUUUUUGUGAGGCGAGGAAUACAC
RNAcentral lists this long non-coding RNA (255 nucleotides) under Podarcis lilfordi (Lilford's wall lizard). Lineage: Eukaryota; Metazoa; Chordata; Lepidosauria; Squamata; Lacertidae. The record is from RNAcentral.